GCUGUCUCCUGGCUUCUAGGUUCCAGCCCUCGGCGCCGUCUGCCUGACGUAGGGGCUGCUGUUUCGCCUCCCUCAGCGGACUGUCGCCCCCUUGUGAGUGGUCCCAAGGACGCUGGCCCCACCUUUGCCUCCCUGCCAGGAAAACAUGAGCACACCUUGGGGCGCGGGAGCGCCUAGAGGGCCUCCGGGGCGCUGUUUGCUUCGUCGCUUCUAGCCCCUUCGCGGCUGUUUGCUUUCCACCUAGCAGACCUCUCACUCUGGAGGGAGCCAGCCGUCCUGAUGUGAGGACAGCCGGCCAGGUAGCAUGUGGCCAGGCCCAUACGGGGAGGAACUGAGGCCUGCCUCCAACAACCGGCACGACUUGCCCUCAGUGUCCCGAGGACACGGACAGUUCCUUGAGGGUGGAAAUUACACAUUUUUCAUCAUUUCUACAACAAGGAAAGAAAUCAGCGGUGGAAGAAAGGGAGCGCAAGAUUCUGGUUGGAAACAAAAGAAGAAACACAAGACCUGGUAGCCUCUCGCCUGUCAUGAGACUGUCUUCCACCUUCUGCAUCUGAAAGACAGACAAUCCUGGUUUCCUACAACCUUGCACCUGAGAGAGAUGGAUCAUGAGUGGAUGGAUCUCUUCGCAUAGUCCAGGCAGAACAACAGGAAGAGAGAGAGAGAGAGAAGUCUAUCCUCUGAUUGACUCUUCAAAUGCCUGCCAUAGCCAGGGUUGGGCCAGGCAGAAGCCAGAAGCUCAGAGUCUCCCACAUAGGCGGGCCUGAUAGCUCGUUUCUUCUUAGCAUUGUCUGCACGGACCACAGUGGAGUAACUUACUGAAGGACGUCUUGUUUGCUUCCAAGUCUGGGUAGUUAUGAACAAAGACGCUGUGCACUCCACCUGCACGUUUUUGUGUGGACGUAAGUCUUCAGCUCCCGGCCGACACACCAAACUACGCGUACCUGUGGGGUACCGUGUUCCGGGGUGGCUCUGCCCUGCCUCCCCGUCAUCGUGUGUUCCUGAUGCCGAGCUCCCAAGUGGCGAGCUAAGAGGAUGCGAUGACCACAUGCCUGGCAGCCUGCCUUCACUCUGCCUUCACUCUGCAAGUGUCCUGCCCACGCUGCCCGUCUCUCCUGACCUGUGUUCCUCUGCUGCGGCCAAUGACCCGCAGGAAGAAUGCCAGCCAAGCUUUCUUGAGUUCAACAAAGCACACGCACAUUCUGCCUGCCAACUCUUCAACACACCCCACGACUUCUGACUACAUCUAACAAGUAUUUUGCUUAAACAUCUUAAAAUGUUUCACUUAUGUUUUUCAAACUACAAAUUUGUAUAUCUUUUUUAUAAUGGGAUUGGAUAUUCUUAAGGCCCAUGUAUAUUAGACUUCUCUUGGCCUACAUUACCUUAAGCUGAACUCCUGAUCCACCCAUCACCGCCCCAGUUUGCUCUUCCUCCCCUAUUUCCAAUCUCAGAAAUGAUAUUUCUUGACCUCAGAGUCGACCCUGAUUACAGACUCUCCUUACCCCCUCAUAUCAGUGUGUCAUCAGCACCUCACCUUUCUGCUCCCAAAAUGUACUUCUAGGAACUCCUCUGUCUCCCUGCCACCCCAGCUCAAGCCCUCUGAGGAGGCUGCAGUUUGCCUCGGUCUCUGCCCUUGGCCACCUCCGUCCUGUCACCCACAGCAGCCCAGAAUGCUCUUUCUCACACACCAGCUGAAGUGUGUCACUCCUCCAGGUAAAAGCCUUCAAUGGUUUCCCACUGCACUUAGGGUCAAAGCCAAAGUUCUUAACAUAGUAUCUGAGGGGCACAUCUGUGGUCAACUGUGGUUUCAAAAUACUACAUGGAAAAUUCCAGAAUAAAUGAUUCAUAAGUUUUUAAAAACUUUUA
This is a non-coding RNA of Oryctolagus cuniculus (rabbit), 1866 nucleotides long. The record is from RefSeq and is a predicted model, not a curated record. NCBI's taxonomy places the organism in Eukaryota, Metazoa, Chordata, Mammalia, Lagomorpha, Leporidae.